ACGCUGGCGGCGUGCCUAAUACAUGCAAGUCGAACGCCUUGUGGUUUUAAUGAAUAGCGUGCUUGCACAAUAUGAUUUAAAACAAUGCAAGGAGUGGCGAACGGGUGAGUAACACGUGGGAAACCUACCUCUUAGCAGGGGAUAACAUUUGGAAACAGAUGCUAAUACCGUAUAAUACUAAAAACCGCAUGGUUUUUAUUUGAAAGAUGGUUCUGCUAUCACUAAGAGAUGGUCCCGCGGUGCAUUAGUUAGAUGGUGAGGUAAUGGCUCACCAUGACGAUGAUGCAUAGCCGAGUUGAGAGACUGAUCGGCCACAAUGGGACUGAGACACGGCCCAUACUCCUACAGGAGGCAGCAGUAGGGAAUCUUCCACAAUGGGCGCAAGCCUGAUGGAGCAACGCCGCGUGUGUGAUGAAGGGUUUCGGCUCGUAAAGCACUGUUGUAAGAGAAGAAUGUACUUGAGAGUAACUGUUCAAGUAGUGACGGUAUCUUACCAGAAAGGGACGGCUAAAUACGUGCCAGCAGCCGCGGUAAUACGUAUGUCCCAAGCGUUAUCCGGAUUUAUUGGGCGUAAAGCGAGCGCAGACGGUUAUUUAAGUCUGAAGUGAAAGCCCUCAGCUCAACUGAGGAAUUGCUUUGGAAACUGGAUGACUUGAGUGCAGUAGAGGAAAGUGGAACUCCAUGUGUAGCGGUGAAAUGCGUAGAUAUAUGGAAGAACACCAGUGGCGAAGGCGGCUUUCUGGACUGUAACUGACGUUGAGGCUCGAAAGUGUGGGUAGCAAAC
Molecule: ribosomal RNA, 784 nt
Filed under: uncultured bacterium
Lineage: Bacteria
Description: bacterial SSU rRNA
Rfam family: Bacterial small subunit ribosomal RNA
Source: RNAcentral